This 1005-nucleotide non-coding RNA is filed under the name Camelus ferus (Wild Bactrian camel). Its description in RNAcentral is "Eukaryotic small subunit ribosomal RNA". It matches the Rfam family "Eukaryotic small subunit ribosomal RNA", at positions 102 to 1134 of the family's 1831-position model. The record is from Rfam by way of RNAcentral. Lineage: Eukaryota; Metazoa; Chordata; Mammalia; Artiodactyla; Camelidae.
AAUACAAGUGAACAUUUGUCAGGUAUGUGUCACAAGUAUUUACUCCAUAUUCUGUUUGCUUAUUCACUUUUUAACAGUCUUUCGAAGAACAGGUUUUAAUUUUGAUCUUUUUCUUUAUGGUUAAUACUUUCUGGAUCCUUUAGAGAAGCCUUUGCUGACACCAGGCUUAAAAAGAUUUCUCCUAUGUUUUCUUUUAGAAGCUUUAUAGUUUUAGCUUCUACGUUAAUGCAGAUCCAUUUAAUUAACUUUUCAGUGUGGUAUGAUGGUAAGCAAAGCAAAUGCCAUCAUUGGGAAAUUAGGAUAUAAUUCUGGACAGGGAGCCUGAGAAACUGCUACCACAUCCAGGGAAGGCAGCAGGCAUGCAAAUUCCCCACUCCAGAUCUGAGCAAGUCUCUUUUUGAGGUCCUAUAAUUGGAAUGAAUAGACUUAAAUUUUUUAAAGUGGGAAUUUGGGAUGGGGCAAUUGUGCUUUCAGCAGCCACUAAUUCCAGCUCAGUAGUAUAAAGCCACUACUUUUUAAAAACUCAUAGUUGGAUUUUAGUUGGGUAGGUGCUUACAUCAAUCCUUGCCUUUUGGUGCCCUCUUGAUGCUCUUAACUGAGUGUCCUAUAGGGCCCAAAGCAUUUAUUUUGGGAGAAAAAGAGUUUUUAAAGCAGGAUCAGGCUGCUGUAUACCACAGCUUAAACUAAUGGAAUGGGACUCCUGGUUUUACUUUGUUUGCUUUUGGAACUAAAGUCAUGAUUAAGAAGGAUGGCCCUGGGUAUUGGUAUUAUGCUGCUAGAGGUGAAUUUCUUGGACCUCUGCAAGAUGCACCAGCGAGAAAGCAUUUGCCAAGAAUGUUUUUAUUAAUCAAGAAUUAAAGGCAGAGGCGGCUCAAAAAUAAUCAACUACAAUCAUAGUUCCAACGAUAAAGGCUGCCGACCUACAAUGGGGAGGCUUAAUUCCAAAACUCACUGGUUGGAUUCCAGGAAACCAAAGUCCUUAUGUCUGAGGGAGUGUGAUUGUAA